This 255-nucleotide ribosomal RNA is filed under the name uncultured bacterium. RNAcentral describes it as "partial 16S ribosomal RNA". It matches the Rfam family "Bacterial small subunit ribosomal RNA", at positions 524 to 776 of the family's 1533-position model. The record is from RNAcentral.
UACGUAGGUGGCAAGCGUUGUCCGGAAUUAUUGGGCGUAAAGCGCGCGCAGGCGGUCCUUUUAAGUCUGAUGUGAAAGCCCACGGCUCAACCGUGGAGGGUCAUUGGAAACUGGGGGGACUUGAGUGCAGGAGAGAAGAGUGGAAUUCCACGUGUAGCGGUGAAAUGCGUAGAGAUGUGGAGGAACACCAGUGGCGAAGGCGACUCUUUGGCCUGUAACUGACGCUGAGGCGCGAAAGCGUGGGGAGCAAACAGG